CAUGCAAGUCGAGCGGCAAGGGCCUUCGGGCCCCUAGAGCGGCGGACGGGUGAGUAACACGUGGACAAUCUGCCCCCCGGCCGGGGAUAGCCCAGGGAAACCUGGAUUAAUACCGGAUGAGACGGGACCCGCGAUGGCGGGAUCCGGGAAAGGCGCUACGGCGCCGCCGGGGGAUGAGUCUGCGUCCCAUUAGCUAGACGGCGGGGUAACGGCCCACCGUGGCGACGAUGGGUAGCCGGCCUGAGAGGGUGGACGGCCACAUUGGAACUGAGACACGGUCCAGACUCCUACGGGAGGCAGCAGCUAAGAAUCUUCCGCAAUGGGCGAAAGCCUGACGGAGCGACGCCGCGUGAACGAAGAAGGCCGUGAGGUUGUAAAGUUCUUUUCGGGAGGGGGAACAACCGUGGCAGGGAAUGGCCGCGGGAUGACGUGAAUCCCGGAAUAAGCCCCGGCUAACUACGUGCCAGCAGCCGCGGUAACACGUAGGGGGCGAGCGUUGUUCGGAAUCAUUGGGCGUAAAGGGCGUGCAGGCGGUCCUGCAAGUCCGGCGUGAAAGACCCCGGCCCAACCGGGGGGACGCGCUGGAAACUGCGGGGCUUGAGUACAGGAGGGGAUGCCGGAAUUCCAGGUGUAGGGGUGAAAUCUGUAGAUAUCUGGAAGAACACCAAUGGCGAAGGCAGGCAUCUGGCCAUGUACUGACGCUGAGACGCGAAGGUGCGGGGAGCAAACAGGUUUAGAUACCCUGGUAGUCCGCACAGUAAACGAUGUGCACCAGGUGGC
This 780-nucleotide ribosomal RNA is filed under the name uncultured bacterium. RNAcentral's name for it is "bacterial SSU rRNA". It matches the Rfam family "Bacterial small subunit ribosomal RNA", at positions 54 to 824 of the family's 1533-position model. The record is from RNAcentral.